UACGAAGGGCCCGAGCGUUAUCCGGAUUUAUUGGGUUUAAAGGGUGCGUAGGCGGACACGCAAGUCAGUGGUGAAAUCUCCCAGCUUAACUGGGAAACUGCCAUUGAAACUGUGUGUCUUGAGUACAUUUGAGGCGGGCGGAAUGGGUCAUGUAGAGGUGAAAUGCUUAGAUAUGACACAGAACACCAAUUGCGAAGGCAGCUCGCUAAACUGUAACUGACGCUGAGGCACGAAAGCGUGGGGAUCAAACAGG
This 253-nucleotide ribosomal RNA is filed under the name uncultured bacterium. RNAcentral describes it as "partial 16S ribosomal RNA". It matches the Rfam family "Bacterial small subunit ribosomal RNA", at positions 524 to 776 of the family's 1533-position model. The record is from RNAcentral.